GCCUCAUUGGUUCAGGGGCAGAGCGUCUGUCUAGUAAGCAGAAGGUCUCUGGUUCGAUUCCAGCAUGAGGCA
This 72-nucleotide transfer RNA is filed under the name Dictyocaulus viviparus (bovine lungworm). It matches the Rfam family "tRNA". Rfam says of the family: Transfer RNA (tRNA) molecules are approximately 80 nucleotides in length. Their secondary structure includes four short double-helical elements and three loops (D, anti-codon, and T loops). Further hydrogen bonds mediate the characteristic L-shaped molecular structure. tRNAs have two regions of fundamental functional importance: the anti-codon, which is responsible for specific mRNA codon recognition, and the 3' end, to which the tRNAs corresponding amino acid is attached (by aminoacyl-tRNA synthetases). tRNAs cope with the degeneracy of the genetic code in two manners: having more than one tRNA (with a specific anti-codon) for a particular amino acid; and 'wobble' base-pairing, i.e. permitting non-standard base-pairing at the 3rd anti-codon position. Lineage: Eukaryota; Metazoa; Nematoda; Chromadorea; Rhabditida; Metastrongylidae. The record is from Rfam by way of RNAcentral.